This 57-nucleotide transfer RNA is filed under the name Metacrangonyx sp. 1 MDMBR-2012. Its description in RNAcentral is "transfer RNA Cysteine". The record is from RNAcentral. Lineage: Eukaryota; Metazoa; Arthropoda; Malacostraca; Amphipoda; Metacrangonyctidae.
AAAUAUAAAGUGGAUCACAAUAAGUUGCAAACUUAUAAAUGCUUUAAGCUAUAUUAA